Molecule: ribosomal RNA, 629 nt
Filed under: uncultured fungus
Lineage: Eukaryota; Fungi
Description: eukaryotic LSU rRNA
Rfam family: 5.8S ribosomal RNA (bases 198-351)
Source: RNAcentral
AGUCGUAACAAGGUUUCCGUAGGUGAACCUGCGGAAGGAUCAUUAGUGAACAUAGGACGUCCAACUUAACUUGGAGUCCGAACUCUCACUUUCUAACCCUGUGCACUUGUUUGGGAUAGUAGUCGACCUAGUCGACGAACUCCUAUUCACUUAUAAACACAAAGUCUAUGAAUGUAUUUAAUUUUAUAACAAAAUAAAACUUUCAACAACGGAUCUCUUGGCUCUCGCAUCGAUGAAGAACGCAGCGAAAUGCGAUAAGUAAUGCGAAUUGCAGAAUUCAGUGAAUCAUCGAAUCUUUGAACGCACCUUGCGCUCCAUGGUAUUCCGUGGAGCAUGCCUGUUUGAGUGUCAUGAAUACUUCAACCCUCCUCUUUCUUAAUGAUUGAAGAGGUGUUUGGAUUCUGAGCGCUGCUGGCCUUUAUUGGUCUUAGCUCGUUCGUAAUGCAUUAGCAUCCGCAAUCGAACUUUCGGAUUGACUUGGCGUAAUAGACUAUUCGCUGAGGAAUUCUAGUCUUCGGACUAGAGCCGGGUUGGAUUAAAGGAAGCUUCUAAUCAGAAUGUCUACAUUUUAAGAUUAGAUCUCAAAUCAGGUAGGACUACCCGCUGAACUUAAGCAUAUCAAUAAGUCG